AAAGGCAAGCAGGGAUCUGUACGGUCACUGUUCUCUUGCCAGGACAAGGGUGUACAAUAAGUUUCCUUUAUAAAGCACUCGUGUAAGUUCUUGCCUGGAGGCUGCAAAAAAAGUAACCUCAGGAAGGGCAAGGAGCGAGUGAUAAGCCAGAU
Otolemur garnettii (small-eared galago) is the source of this 152-nucleotide non-coding RNA. The record is from Rfam. Lineage: Eukaryota; Metazoa; Chordata; Mammalia; Primates; Galagidae.